UACAGAGGUGCCGAGCGUUAGGCGGAAUCACUGGGCUUAAAGCGCGUGUAGGCGGGUCGUUAAGUGUCCGCGUGAAAUCCCACGGCUCAACCGUGGAACUGCCGGGCAUACUGGCGACCUUGAGGCGCUUAGGGGCGAGCGGAACAAAUGGUGGAGCGGCGAAAUGCGUAGAUAUCAUUUGGAACGCCGACGGUGAAAACAGCUCGCUGGGAGUGUCCUGACGCUGAGACGCGAAAGCCAGGGGAGCGAACGGG
Molecule: ribosomal RNA, 254 nt
Filed under: uncultured bacterium
Lineage: Bacteria
Description: partial 16S ribosomal RNA
Rfam family: Bacterial small subunit ribosomal RNA
Source: RNAcentral